Molecule: long non-coding RNA, 415 nt
Organism: Choloepus didactylus (southern two-toed sloth)
Lineage: Eukaryota; Metazoa; Chordata; Mammalia; Pilosa; Megalonychidae
Exons: 3
Source: RefSeq, a predicted model, not a curated record
CCUUGCUAUCAUCAUCUCCAGGCUGAGCUUCAGUGUCAGCCUCCCGAGCCUCAGUCCUUGCAAGGGCUGUGUGUGUAGCAACUAUAACUUUUGGACAAAGACCCAAGACUGCCUGCUUAUGCCUGGCUUGCUGUCUCCACCCUGUUCACUGGAUGCCUUGCAUAGACUUUAGAGGAGGACUGGAUUCCAGGUCAGCCCCUGAGCACCAGCGUGGCAGGUCAAGCCCCAGCUCUUUCUCUACGCAGAAUCAUCUGGCAAGGAGGUGGGGUGGAUUUCAGCGUGGCUUCCUGGAGGAACUCCACUCCUACCUUCAGAAUAGCCACUUUAGACUGCUGUGGGCUUGAAACCAGAAACGUGACCUCCAGGGUAGCAGAGGUCUUGUUUAUUAUAGUCGAAGAAGAUUGAAAUCAGAGAG